Molecule: unclassified non-coding RNA, 341 nt
Organism: Dipodomys ordii (Ord's kangaroo rat)
Lineage: Eukaryota; Metazoa; Chordata; Mammalia; Rodentia; Heteromyidae
Gene: 7SK
Rfam family: 7SK RNA
About the family: 7SK was discovered as an abundant small nuclear RNA in the mid-70s but a possible function has only recently been suggested. Two independent studies have found that 7SK RNA binds the CDK9/cyclin T complex (known as elongation factor P-TEFb).
Source: Ensembl
GGAUGUAAGGGUGAUCUGGCUGCGACAUCUGUCACCCACUGAUGGCCAGGGUUGAUUGGGCUGAUCUGGCUGGCGAGGCGGGUGUCCCCUUCUUCCCUCACCACUCCAUGUACAUCCCUCCCGAAGCUGCGGGCUCGGCUCGGUCGAAGAGGACGACCAUCCCCCAUAGAGGAGGACCAGUCUUCGGUCAAGGGUAUAAGAGUAGCUGCGCUCCCCUGCUAGAACCUCCAAACAAGCUCUCAAGAGUCUCACAGGUUGGCUUUGAACAGUGGUCCUCAGAUUUCAGCCUCCUGAAUAGGAUUACAGGAUUACACCAGCACCUGGCCUCUGAAUGUAUUUAU